Molecule: ribosomal RNA, 476 nt
Filed under: Candidatus Scalindua wagneri
Lineage: Bacteria; Pseudomonadati; Planctomycetota; Candidatus Brocadiia; Candidatus Brocadiales; Candidatus Scalinduaceae
Description: bacterial SSU rRNA
Rfam family: Bacterial small subunit ribosomal RNA
Source: RNAcentral
UUCGCAAUGCCCGAAAGGGUGACGAAGCGACGCCGCGUGAGCGAAGAAGGCCCUAGGGUUGUAAAGCUCUGUCGAGGGUUAUGAAAUAUAAAAAGGUUAAUACCCUUUUUGUUUGACAAAGGCCCCAAAGGAAGUCACGGCUAACUCUGUGCCGGCAGCCGCGGUAAUACAGAGGUGGCAAGCGUUGUUCGGUAUUAUUGGGCGUAAAGAGCACGUAGGUGGUUUUGUAAGUCAGGUGUGAAAGCCUUCUGUUUAAGGGAAGGACGGCAUCUGAAACUGCAGAUCUUGAGUGUAGGAGGGGAGAGUGGAACUUCUGGUGGAGCGGUGAAAUGCGUAGAUAUCAGAAGGAACGUCGGCGGCGAAAGCGACUCUCUGGCCUAUUACUGACACUGAGGUGCGAAAGUUAGGGGAGCAAACGGGAUUAGAUACCCCGGUAGUCCUAACCGUAAACGAUGGGCACUAAGUAGAGGGGUUUU